RNAcentral lists this transfer RNA (70 nucleotides) under Ephippus orbis (orbfish). Its description in RNAcentral is "tRNA-Pro". It matches the Rfam family "tRNA". Rfam says of the family: Transfer RNA (tRNA) molecules are approximately 80 nucleotides in length. Their secondary structure includes four short double-helical elements and three loops (D, anti-codon, and T loops). Lineage: Eukaryota; Metazoa; Chordata; Actinopteri; Ephippiformes; Ephippidae. The record is from RNAcentral.
CAGAGAAUAGUUAAACUAAGAAUGCUAGCUUUGGGAGUUAGUGGCGGCGGUUAAAAUCCGCCUUCUUUGA